This 497-nucleotide ribosomal RNA is filed under the name uncultured bacterium. RNAcentral's name for it is "partial 16S ribosomal RNA". It matches the Rfam family "Bacterial small subunit ribosomal RNA", at positions 28 to 507 of the family's 1533-position model. The record is from RNAcentral.
GAUGAACGCUGGCGGCGUGCCUAACACAUGCAAGUCGAGCGAAAAGACGCUGAGCUUGCUCCUCUGACGUUAGCGGCGGACGGGUGAGUAACACGUGGAUAACCUACCUAUAAGACUGGGAUAACUUCGGGAAACCGGAUCUAAUACCGGAGAAUAUAUUGAACCGCAUGGUGCAAUAGUGAAAUACGGUUUUGCUGUCACUUAUAGAUGGAUCCGCGCCGGAUUAGCGAGUUGGUAAGGUAACGGCUUACCAAGGCAACGAUGCGUAGCCGAGCUGAGAGGGUGAUCGGCCACACUGGAACGGAGACACGGUCCAGACUCCUACGGGAGGCAGCAGUAGGGAAUCUUCCGCAAUGGGCGAAAGCUUGACGGAGCAACGCCGCGUGAGUGAUGAAGGUCUUCGGAUCGUAAAACUCUGUUAUUAGGGAAGAACAAAUGUGUAAGUAACUAUGCACGUCUUGACGGUACCUAAUCAGAAAGCCACGGCUAACUACGUG